AACAUCCAAUGAUGGAUUAGAUUCACAAUCUAAUACAUUUACGCUUCCAUUACGUUACUCUAAUUCUUCCUCAUUCUUUGAGGAAUCUAUCCUUUAGUAUUUCUUAAAUACUUAAGGAUUCACUUGACAGUUGCCAUGGUUCUGAUCCUGGGCUUACACUGAUAUCGUCUUGUACCGUUCUAGGUACAACUCAUAUCAAUGUUUUUCAUACAAUAUGAAAUACAUAAAUCACCUUUAUGCGUAUGCAUAAAGGAUUCUAUUUACGCAUUAUUUCUUUGGGAGUCAAAGAGUACGUUCUCUUUGAGAAGAGCAACUUCUUAGUCUCACUAGAGCUGUCCUUCUAAUUGAAGUUUAUCAUCAUAUGAGAAACCUCCUAGCAUCUCUUGUCUAUUAUUUAGGGCUUGAUAUAAUCCAAUUAUAUCCUAAAAUCUAUCAUUAUAGAUUUCCAUCCCAUGUUUAUAGACUAUGUCUCCCAUAUACAUUCUAUCGUUAUAGAAUGCUUAAAGUCAUAACUUUAACGAAGAAGUAUUCUUUUCAUUUCCAAAAUUAAUAUAUCAUAUAUAUAUUUAUAUUUUAGGAACAUGAUUAACUCCCAUAAACAUUCUAUCUUCAUAUAAUGUUUUAAAGUCAUAACUUUAACCAAGAAGUUUUUAUUUCAUUUCCAAAAUUAAUAUAUCAUAUAUAUAUACUUAAAUUUUAGGAACAUGAUUAACUCCCACUAAUCUUUUGUAAACCUAGUAAACAAAAGAUUCAUUUACAUCUUUAUGAGAAAUCAAACGAUUUGAUCUUUUUCUCAUAAGAUGCUCAUAGCUCCCACUAGCUUGCUUAGAUUCAUGAUGGAUGGAUCUCUACAACUUACAUGUCUUGUGAUUCAUAGUUUUAGACAUAUAUUAUCAAGACUAUCUUAAUAAUGGUUUCGGAAACUCAUAUUAUGUCCAAACAUUGAAUCACCAUUUAGUUGUAGCUAGCAAUCUUCGAAUUAAUUGAAACCAAGACUAUCUCAAAGAUGGUUUCUUCAAAGUCAACCAUUCUCUUUGAUUGUAGUCACCUUAAGCUACCAAUUAGCUAUUUAA
Molecule: long non-coding RNA, 1073 nt
Filed under: Malus domestica (apple)
Lineage: Eukaryota; Viridiplantae; Streptophyta; Magnoliopsida; Rosales; Rosaceae
Description: long non-coding RNA (MDOM_LNC019452)
Source: RNAcentral